GACGAACGCUGGCGGCGUGCCUAAUACAUGCAAGUCGAACGCAGUGGGGACGGGUGAGUAACACGUGGGUAACCUCCCAUCAGAGGGGAUAACACUUGGAAACAGGUGCUAAUCCGAUACUGAUUGAUGGACCCGCGGUGCAGUAGCUAGUUGGUGAGGUAACGGCUAACCAAGGCCACGAUGCAUAGCCGACCUGAGAGGAUGAUCGGCCACACUGGGACUGAGACACGGCCCAGACUCCUACGGGAGGCAGCAGUGGGGAAUCUUCGGCAAUGGACGAAAGUCUGACCGAGCAACGCCGCGUGGAUGAAGAAGGUUUUAGGGUCGUAAAACACUGUUAUUAGUGAAGCGUUAUCUGACGAGAAAGCCACGGCUAACUACGUGCCAGCAGCCGCGGUAAUUC
Molecule: ribosomal RNA, 403 nt
Filed under: uncultured bacterium
Lineage: Bacteria
Description: partial 16S ribosomal RNA
Rfam family: Bacterial small subunit ribosomal RNA
Source: RNAcentral